AUGCAAACAUCCUUUCAAGAUAUAAGAAGAUUUGCUAAUUGCGAUCUGAGUUUAGAACAGAAAUUAAAGAUGCUGAAUUUUAUGAAGAGAUUUGGUAAAGUGUCUCUAUGCUUAUCUGCUAAUGAUUACUUCAACGUCACCAAGAAAUUUCCGAUUAAGAUGGCGAGUUCCCUUUACUCCGUAUUUUCUGGUCUUCUGAAUCUGAGAACAGCUUCGAGACAUAAUACUCUGUAGUUGAUAUGUUCAAUGUACCUGUUUCCA
This 261-nucleotide long non-coding RNA is filed under the name Centruroides sculpturatus (bark scorpion). RNAcentral's name for it is "uncharacterized LOC111617218". Lineage: Eukaryota; Metazoa; Arthropoda; Arachnida; Scorpiones; Buthidae. The record is from RNAcentral.